RNAcentral lists this ribosomal RNA (116 nucleotides) under Citrobacter werkmanii. Lineage: Bacteria; Pseudomonadati; Pseudomonadota; Gammaproteobacteria; Enterobacterales; Enterobacteriaceae. The record is from RNAcentral.
CGUAGCGCCUGUAGCGCGGUGGUCCCACCUGACCCCAUGCCGAACUCAGAAGUGAAACGCCGUAGCGCCGAUGGUAGUGUGGGGUCUCCCCAUGCGAGAGUAGGGAACUGCCAGGC